This 1075-nucleotide ribosomal RNA is filed under the name Symbiobacterium thermophilum. RNAcentral's name for it is "partial 23S ribosomal RNA". It matches the Rfam family "Bacterial large subunit ribosomal RNA", at positions 458 to 1535 of the family's 2925-position model. The record is from RNAcentral. Lineage: Bacteria; Bacillati; Bacillota; Clostridia; Eubacteriales; Symbiobacteriaceae.
UCCCAAGGCUAAAUACUCCCUAGUGACCGAUAGUGAACCAGUACCGUGAGGGAAAGGUGAAAAGCACCCCGGGAGGGGAGUGAAAGAGAACCUGAAACCGUGUGCCUACAAGUAGUCAGAGCCCGUUGAUGGGUGAUGGCGUGCCUUUUGUAGAAUGAACCGGCGAGUGACGAUGGCGUGCGAGGUUAAGCCGGAGAGGCGGAGCCGCAGCGAAAGCGAGUCUGAACAGGGCGUGUGAGUACGUCGUCGUCGACCCGAAACCAGGUGAUCUACCCAUGUCCAGGGUGAAGGCCGGGUAACACCGGCUGGAGGCCCGAACCCACGCACGUUGAAAAGUGCGGGGAUGAGGUGUGGGUAGGGGUGAAAUGCCAAUCGAACUUGGAGAUAGCUGGUUCUCCCCGAAAUAGCUUUAGGGCUAGCCUCGGGUUUAGGAGUCUUGGAGGUAGAGCACUGAUUGGGCUAGGGGCCCAAACCGGGUUACCGAACCCAGUCAAACUCCGAAUGCCAAUGACUUAUGCCCGGGAGUCAGACUGCGAGUGAUAAGAUCCGUGGUCGAGAGGGGAACAGCCCAGACCGCCAGCUAAGGCCCCGAAGUGCACGUUCAGUGGAAAAGGAUGUGGAGUUGCAAAGACAACCAGGAUGUUGGCUUAGAAGCAGCCACCAUUUAAAGAGUGCGUAAUAGCUCACUGGUCGAGUGACUCUGCGCCGAAAAUGUACCGGGGCUAAACGUGCCGCCGAAGCUGCGGGAUGACCGUUGGUCAUCGGUAGGGGAGCGUUCUAAGGGCAGAGAAGCCAGACCGGAAGGACUGGUGGAGCGCUUAGAAGUGAGAAUGCCGGUAUGAGUAGCGAAAACAGAGGUGAGAAUCCUCUGCACCGAAAGCCUAAGGGUUCCUGAGGAAGGUUCGUCCGCUCAGGGUUAGUCGGGACCUAAGCCGAGGCCGAAAGGCGUAGGUGAUGGACAACAGGUUGAGAUUCCUGUACCACCUUCUUCCCGUUUGAGCGAUGGGGGGACGCAGGAGGAUAGGGCGAGCAGGCGGCUGGAAGAGCCUGUCCAAGCCGUGAGGCUGAUCCGCAG